GCUCACCAGAACCUGCUAAUGUGCCGGAGAGUGAGCUGGUAAUGAAAUGUGUUGCAGAUAGUAUUCAAACAGCUGAUUCGAAGGUUAUCAUGUCUGUGUUUGAUUUUGGUGGACAGUCUGUUUUCAAUGUCAUUCAUCCACUUUUUCUCACUAAGUAUGGAGUUUAU
RNAcentral lists this non-coding RNA (167 nucleotides) under Paraphysomonas bandaiensis. Lineage: Eukaryota; Chrysophyceae; Chromulinales; Paraphysomonadaceae. The record is from RNAcentral.